Non-coding RNA from Onthophagus taurus, 763 nucleotides. NCBI's taxonomy places the organism in Eukaryota, Metazoa, Arthropoda, Insecta, Coleoptera, Scarabaeidae. The record is from RefSeq and is a predicted model, not a curated record.
UUUGAAAUCUGUGUAAUGCUAUACCAAUUUAUAAAGGAUACAGGAUUUGAGGUGUGAUACUAAACUGUGAUCUAUAAUCUCUAAAAUACUAAUCUCCGAAUCACUGAGCCCCUGGCUCGCAGAAGAAACCUAAGAUAUGUUAAUUCAUUGUUGUCUGUAAUUCUCUCUUAAAUAAUAAUACCAUGGGGCAAAGAAAAGAGAAGGAGAAAACUGGAAACGAGGCAAAGUACCUGAAUGAAUCCAAGCAUUGCAAAGGAAAAUUAAAUAAAGAAGAAAAAUAACGAAUGGUAAAUUAAAAACAAAGAAGAAUAAGCACAGGAAAUGAAUGAAUUAAAGUAAAAAUAGCAAGUUGUGACACUAAAAAUUAAAAUUAAAUGGACCACCUAUAUAUGAGUGUAAGGAUUGAACCCAAGAUAGAGGGAGAAAGGCAUAUAUUGACGUAGCAACUAGAGUAUGAGAUGAACUGCAACUUAUACUUGUUUGACAACCAACCAUAACCUAAAAUAAUCUACACAAUGCUAAAAUCAUAAAUUAAAUCAUAACUAAGUGAUUUAAAUAAGAAAUGUUUCGAUUAUCGCGUUUUCUUCAAUUAAAACACAUAACCUAUAAAUUAAACAAGAUUUUUAGCAACAACCCCAAAAGAUGAAAUAAUAAUCCCUAAACGUAUAAAUAGGGGCCCUGCAGAUAUAUCACAAGCCCUCGAAGUUACAAUAAAACGAGAUAAAUGAUUCUUAAAAGAUUAAUUAAUAAUAAAAUUUAAAUA